GAGCAUGAAAUCCCUGGCAGGUGCUGUCAGAGAAUUGUGGCCGGGAGAGGCGGUGGAGCUCCGACUGUUGCUGUCGAAGUUGACCUGGAAAGGCACGUCAGAGAGGGUGAGAGCCCCGUGGUCGACACCGACGGGAAGGGCCGUAGCCGUCUUCGGAGAGUCGGGUUGUUUGGGAAUGCAGCCCAAAGUGGGUGGUAAACUCCAUCUAAAGCUAAAUACUGGCACGAGACCGAUAGCGAACAAGUACCAUGAGGGAAAGGUGAAAAGUACUUUGAAAAGAGAGUCAAAAAGACCGCGAAACCGUUAGGAGGGAAACGAAUGCAGCUGAAGUGGCUCCGUAUCAGGUUCAGGGGAUGUCGGUGGACGUUCCGGCUGCGGACAGCUAACGCGUCCUCGGUCGGAGAGGCUGCCGACUUCCUUGCACUCCUGUUGGGAGCCGGCCAACAGCGGUUGUUCCUGGCCCAGAAGGCCGGUCGGGAGGUACCUCCGCACUCGUGCAGAGAACGUAUAGCCGUCCGGUUCGGCGGUCUGGGAGCGACCKAGGAGAGUCGUGAACUUUCACGCUUGCAGCGCAGGCCCCUCGGGGCCGGGUCGCCUCUGUUCGUUUGGGCCCCGCGGUUGGGACUGCUUGCAGUGUCUGCCGACGGUCAGCCUGCUCGGUCGGGGGAUUGGCCACGCCUUGCGCUCUAGUUGUUGGUGCUCGAAUGGCUGCAUCCGACCCGUCUUGAAACACGGACCAAGGAGUGCAACAUGCGUGCGAGUCUUUGGGUGGCAAACCCGUCGGCGCAAUGAAGGUGAAGGCAGGCGUUGGUCUGCUUAGGCGAGAGCUUCCUCGGGAGCGCAUCGUCGACCGAUCCCAGGCUACGCUGUGGCGGGAUUUGAGUAAGAGCGUGCCUGUUGCGACCCGAAAGAUGGUGAACUAUGCCUGAAUAGGGUGAAGCCAGAGGAAACUCUGGUGGAAGCUCGUAGCGAUUCUGACGUGCAAAUCGAUCGUCAAAUUUGGGUAUAGGGGCGAAAGACUAAUCGAACC
RNAcentral lists this ribosomal RNA (1030 nucleotides) under Clionaida sp. 1 JV-2020. RNAcentral describes it as "partial large subunit ribosomal RNA". Lineage: Eukaryota; Metazoa; Porifera; Demospongiae; Clionaida. The record is from RNAcentral.